UGGAGAGUACUGUUCAUUCUCGUAAUCUUCAUCGUCAUCCUCAGGGUUGAAAGGAUCAGCAUUCUCAUUUUCUGAAUCUGUCUCUGUUUCCUCUUCUUGAUCCUUCGGAAUUCUGAUUUUGAUUCCCGCAGCCUGUCCUUUAAGCCUUCUUCCCGGGUUAAUGUAACUCACAGCUUUCUUGUCUUUCUUUUUCUCGAGCAAGAGAGCUUUCAGUUCCUCCUGCCCCCUGGAUAAGUUCAAGAUCAUCUCCUGGAGUUGAGCAUUCUGAGCAUGGAGAUCCUUGACAGUUUGUUCGAGGUCCAUUUUUCUGUGUGGAGGAAAACCGUGAGAACACUGAUCCCUUUAGAGUACCUGUUAUGCUAUGUUAUGCUAUGCAAUGCAUGAAAUGUUUUCAAGGCCUUUUGGAAUUUAACUUUGCAUAAACUACCGAAAAGGGAAACUUUUUUUGUUUUGUUUUUUU
This 460-nucleotide long non-coding RNA is filed under the name Lathyrus oleraceus (garden pea). Its description in RNAcentral is "Pisum sativum (pea) long non-coding RNA (PSAT_LNC027827)". Lineage: Eukaryota; Viridiplantae; Streptophyta; Magnoliopsida; Fabales; Fabaceae. The record is from RNAcentral.